ACAUAGCAGGAUCCACAGGGGUACCAGAAUGAUAGCGAUGCCACAAGGGAUGAUAAUGGCCAGAGCCCAGCCAGGAAAACCUCCACUUGUGGUAUUGAAAGGAGUGGUCAGCAAAAGAGUAGGAGGUGGUGUGGUAGCUUCUACAGUUGUCGUUGUGGGUGCUGCUGUUGUGGUGGUUGUAGCAGCUAUAUUUGUGGUUGUUGUAGCAGCUUUCGUUGUGGUUGUCGAAGGAGAUGGAGUUGUGGUUGUUGAAGGACCUGCCAUUGUAGUGGUUGUAGGAGCUACAGCUGUUUUAAUUAAUGCAGCAUUAUCAUCUGCAGUUGUAGGAGCUGCAGAUGCAGUUGUAAGAGUUGCAGCUGUAGGAGCUGCAGUUGCACUUGUAGGAGCUGCAGUUAUCAUAGUAGCUGCAAUUGUGGUUGUUCUAAGAGCUGUAGUUGUUGUCGUAGUAGAUGCUGCAGUUGUAGGGGUGGUAGGACCAAUGGUUGUUUUAGUAAGAGCUGAAUUGAUUGUCAUAGCAGCUUUUGUGGUGCUGGUUGAAGGAGCUACAGUUAUUGGAGUAAGAGCUUUAGUUGUUGUUGUAGGUAUGGUAGAUGUAGUGGUUGUAGCCGCAACAGUUGCUGUAGGAGCAACAGAUUUCAUUGUAGGUGCGGCUGAUGUAGGGGUCAUAAGAGCUAAAAAUGUUAUAGUAGGAGGUGCAGUUAUGGUUGUAGCUUUAGCUGCAGUUGUGGUUGUUGUAAGAGCUGCAGUUGUAGUUAUUGUAGCAGGUGCUGCAGUGGUUGUCGAAGUAGGUGCUGAAGUUGUAUUGAUCAUAGGAGCUACAGUUCUUGUUAUGGGUGCUGCUGUUGUAAUGGCCAUAGUAGGUGUUGUGGUUGUCAUAGGGGCUUCAGUUGUAGUUAUUGUAGCAGGUGCUGCAGUGGUUGUCAAAGUAGAUGAUGCAGUUGUAGUGGUCGUAGGAGCUACAGUUGUUGGCGAAGGAGCUACAGAUGUUGUUGUGGUUAUCGUAGGACCUUCAGUUGUCGUUGUAGGUGCUUCUGUUGUUGUGGUCGUACGAUCUAAAGUUGUUGUAGUAGGAGCUGCAGUUGUGGUUGUCAUAGGAACUGCAUUUGUCAUUGUCGUAGUAGGUGCUGCAGUUGUCGUUGUCGUAGUAGGUGCUGCAGUUGUGGUUGUCGUAGUAGCUUUAGUUGUAGUUGUAGAAUGUGUUGCAGUCGUAGUGGUUGUAAGAGCUACAGUUGUUGUAGUAGGAGCUGAAGUGAUUUUUUCAGUAGCUGCUGACGUUGUAGUGGUUGGGGAUAUAUUUGUUGUCAUAGAAGCUACAGUUGUUGUUGUAGAAUGUGUUGCAGUCGUAGUGGUUGUAAGAGCUACAGUUGUUGUAGUAGGAGCUGAAGUGAUUUUUGCAGUAGCUGCUGACGUUGUAGUGGUUGGGGAUAUAUUUGUUGUCAUAGAAGCUACAGUUGUUGUUGUAGGUGCUGCAGUUGUGGUUGUCGUAGCAGCUUCAGUUGUAGUUGUCGUAGCAGGUGCUGCAGUUGUGGUUAUCGUAGGAGCUUCAGUUGUAGUUGUUAAAGUAGGUGCUGCAGUUGUAGUGGUUGUAAGAGCUACAUAUGGUUUAGGAGUGUCAAUUGCAGUUAUUUUAGCAGAUGCUGCAGCGGUUGUCGAAGUAGGUGGUGUAGUUGUGGUCGUAGGAGCUACAGUUGUUGCACUUGGAGCUACAGUUGUGGUUGUCGUAGGAGCUACAGUUGUGGUUGUCGUAGUAGGUGUUGUGGUUGUCGUAGUAGGUGUUGUGGUUGUCGUAGUAGGUGGUGUGGUCGUCGUAGUAGGUGCUGCAGUUGUCGUAGUAGGUGCUGCAGUUGUCGUAAUAGGUGCUGCAAUUGUGGUUGUCGUAGCAGCUUCAGUUAUAAUUGUCGUAGUAGGUGCUGCAGUUGUGGUUAUCAUAGGCGCUUCAGUUGUAGUUGUUGUAGUAUGUGCUGCAGUCGUAGUGGUUGUAAG
This 1983-nucleotide long non-coding RNA is filed under the name Salmo salar (Atlantic salmon). Its description in RNAcentral is "lncRNA (ENSSSAG00000114499.1)". Lineage: Eukaryota; Metazoa; Chordata; Actinopteri; Salmoniformes; Salmonidae. The record is from RNAcentral.